This 1186-nucleotide ribosomal RNA is filed under the name Escherichia coli. Its description in RNAcentral is "partial 23S ribosomal RNA". It matches the Rfam family "Bacterial large subunit ribosomal RNA", at positions 1 to 1220 of the family's 2925-position model. Lineage: Bacteria; Pseudomonadati; Pseudomonadota; Gammaproteobacteria; Enterobacterales; Enterobacteriaceae. The record is from RNAcentral.
GGGUUGUGAGGUUAAGCGACUAAGCGUACACGGUGGAUGCCCUGGCAGUCAGAGGCGAUGAAGGACGUGCUAAUCUGCGAUAAGCGUCGGUAAGGUGAUAUGAACCGUUAUAACCGGCGAUUUCCGAAUGGGGAAACCCAGUGUGUUUCGACACACUAUCAUUAACUGAAUCCAUAGGUUAAUGAGGCGAACCGGGGGAACUGAAACAUCUAAGUACCCCGAGGAAAAGAAAUCAACCGAGAUUCCCCCAGUAGCGGCGAGCGAACGGGGAGGAGCCCAGAGCCUGAAUCAGUGUGUGUGUUAGUGGAAGCGUCUGGAAAGGCGCGCGAUACAGGGUGACAGCCCCGUACACAAAAAUGCACAUGCUGUGAGCUCGAUGAGUAGGGCGGGACACGUGGUAUCCUGUCUGAAUAUGGGGGGACCAUCCUCCAAGGCUAAAUACUCCUGACUGACCGAUAGUGAACCAGUACCGUGAGGGAAAGGCGAAAAGAACCCCGGCGAGGGGAGUGAAAAAGAACCUGAAACCGUGUACGUACAAGCAGUGGGAGCAUGCUUAGGCGUGUGACUGCGUACCUUUUGUAUAAUGGGUCAGCGACUUAUAUUCUGUAGCAAGGUUAACCGAAUAGGGGAGCCGAAGGGAAACCGAGUCUUAACUGGGCGUUAAGUUGCAGGGUAUAGACCCGAAACCCGGUGAUCUAGCCAUGGGCAGGUUGAAGGUUGGGUAACACUAACUGGAGGACCGAACCGACUAAUGUUGAAAAAUUAGCGGAUGACUUGUGGCUGGGGGUGAAAGGCCAAUCAAACCGGGAGAUAGCUGGUUCUCCCCGAAAGCUAUUUAGGUAGCGCCUCGUGAACUCAUCUCCGGGGGUAGAGCACUGUUUCGGCAAGGGGGUCAUCCCGACUUACCAACCCGAUGCAAACUGCGAAUACCGGAGAAUGUUAUCACGGGAGACACACGGCGGGUGCUAACGUCCGUCGUGAAGAGGGAAACAACCCAGACCGCCAGCUAAGGUCCCAAAGUCAUGGUUAAGUGGGAAACGAUGUGGGAAGGCCCAGACAGCCAGGAUGUUGGCUUAGAAGCAGCCAUCAUUUAAAGAAAGCGUAAUAGCUCACUGGUCGAGUCGGCCUGCGCGGAAGAUGUAACGGGGCUAAACCAUGCACCGAAGCUGCGGCAGCGACGCUUAUG